This 3187-nucleotide long non-coding RNA is filed under the name Triticum aestivum (bread wheat). RNAcentral's name for it is "long non-coding RNA (TAES_LNC007966)". Lineage: Eukaryota; Viridiplantae; Streptophyta; Magnoliopsida; Poales; Poaceae. The record is from RNAcentral.
UGAUGUAUGAUGUUUCCCAUUCAUGCCACAGAUGAGGAAUCAUUGUCCGCAUGCAUUACAAUCAGGGGAUCGUUCCCCAUGUAAAGAUCCGACGAAUACACCUACUCAGGAGACUGCAAAUCAAGCAGAUUCUUCUUCGUCACUGCAUGUGCCACGAACCCCUUUGAGCAACAUAACCAACUCAGUUGUAAAUCAAGAUGUUGAAAAACCAAAAAGUGGUAAAAAUUGGUAUGCAUGAAUGUCCGAUGAGAAGAGAGCGGAGUACAACUAGAAGUGGCGUAUGGCCCGAGCACACAAGAAGGCUGCAUCUGUCAUUAGUAUUAACCCUAAGGAGGUCUCCCAAACACAUGCUUCUUCAUCACCGGAUGUGCCACGAACCCCUUUGAGCGACAUAGCCAACUCAAACACAACCGGUUUGUUCUUUAUCUUUACAUGCUGCAAUUUUAAUAUUCUGACUACUAUUUCAAUAUUCUAUGCUACACUACUAUAUUGAGAGACUAACCUAUCAUACGUAUCAUAGAUGCAGCUGCAACCUCAGCUUAUACCGACCAUCCAUCUGAAGAUGUCGCUCUUGGGCGCAAAAAACGAAGCUCUGAAACGUGGUAUUCACGUCUAUCCGAUGAGGAGAGAGCAGAGCACUGCAAGAAGCUCCGGAUCGCUCGACUAGAAAAGAAAGCUGCUACCACUAGCGUCCAAGUAUCACCUGGUAAUUUCAACAAAUAUUUUCUAGCACCAUAUUUCUGUACGUAUUGCUCAUCUUCAACCAUAUAAAAGCCAUAUGAUGCACUGUCUUUCUGUAGGUAUUGCUUAUCUUCAAACAGCACAAUCUGUUGUCAGCCAUAUGCUAAACUCACCAUGCAGUGCGUCAUCUAUGCAGACAGAUGGUCAUAUUGAUUGGCUGCACACAAAUCCCACUUACGAACGACAAAAGAUGGAUGUUCAUGGGGUAUUUGACAUGUCACAAGCUCAAGGGGCGCACAUACAAGAAAGCUUUCUGCCUAACUCACUUAGCUCUGUUCAAAUGAAAGGUAUGUUGAGGAUUCAGUACUGAUUGACCCAUUUUGAUUUUAUAUACACAGUUUUCUGACCACAUGUAUCCCAUUCAGAGGCAUCUUCUGAGAAGAAACGGCGUCGCAUGAGAGAACAAUAUGAUCAAAUGACGCCGGAAGAAAGAGAAGUUGUCUUGCAGAGGAAACGUGUGCAUAAGAUGGGAAAACGCCAUGCAUCAUCUGAACAGUCCUACAUUGCUGAGCCAACAGGUGGAUCUGCAGUCCCCUCACCAAUUACACAUGCCAUUGAUCUUACAUGUAAUUUAGUUAGUCCCACUAAAGGACCAUUGAUCUUCAUUUUUUGUCAAAAGUAACUAUGUUUGCGUGGUAAUUGACUGCACCUGCCAUGUGAUAUUCAACUUUGUUUCUACCGUGUCGGUGGUGUGCAACCAGGUUGCCACGGCAAUGGUGAAGAGUCCUAUGAUGCUGGAAUAUUAGAGCCUAUGGAGCCCCCCGCCGAAGUGGACGGUAUAUUUCCUUUCAUUAUUCCUGUCCCAUUACUUAAUUCCUUUAUACGGCACUGUGUAGUUUCCCGUGUGUUGUAAUUGUGGUAUAUACUCCCUCCAUUCCUAAAUACAAGUAUUUGUUAGAGAUUCCAGUGUUUAAAAACUACUUAUCAAUGACAAAUAUCCUCGCGUUACAGUACUAAAUUUUUCAAUAGGAGAAAUGAUGAUGCUCACAUCCAAGCAGGAAGCUGAUUUAAUGUUAUUGCUUUCCUAGAAUUCUUGCACGACACACAGGAUGGGCAACCGGUGUAUGAUGAUGAUGAUGAAUGCAGGAUAUUUACUGGACAAGGUGACCUAUACCAUGAAUGCAUAUACCCUUAUAUCUCGCAGACUGAUGUAUUUUUGACUCCAAUAUUAUUGUAGGUGAUGAGUUUGAAUCAUACAGAAUGACACCUAAUGUUUCACAUCAUGCUUUUGCGGCUGAUGAUCCUUAUGACUAUGUCUACAAGAAUCUACCAACUAAGCAUCAUGUUUUCAAGCCAGUAAAAGACUGUGUCCAUUGUGGAGCAAUGAGGUUCCAGUAUGAAGGUCCAGCCUUCUGUUGCAAAAAAGGUAAAGUUAAUGUAUGUAUCCCAGAGGUUCCAUUCUACCUGAAUGAUGCACUCGAAUUAGCACAACCGGGUUGGAAGUCUGAUACACUUGCCUGGCCACGUAAAUCACCACUUGAUGUUUCGAUGAGCCUAGACCGGUCAGUUACUCUGAAAAUCACUAUGCAUGUUUUAGAUUUAUUGUCAUAACCUCUGAAGAUAAUGAUAGUGUAUUCAUCUACAGGAAUGAAUCUGGUUAUUUUGUUUUCAAUUAUAUGCUCUGGCAUGGUAACAAAUUUGUUCGUCCAAUUUGCACGGCGAGUAUUCUGUGUCACACGUUCAUAAAAAGUUUGAAGCAAAAUUUCAUCCUAACAUCAUGCAUUGCUCAUGUAGGAUGGUUAUGAGUUGAGAAAGAAUAUUUUGAUACACUUGCUCGAGUAUGAUGCGAAUGAAGCUGAAGACAAUAUCCCAUAUGAUGUACGAGAAAUUCUCAAGUGCCUCAAGUACGAAGUUAAGAGAUGAUAAACUGGACUUGAUAUCUACGCAUUGGUUCACACUGUAGUUUUUUUUAUCAAAAUUUAUUUUUCAUCUCCAUGGAUUUGUUUACUCUAUUUGCCAUAUGUUGUGGCUAUUUAUUUAUAGACAUGAAUUUUGCGAUGCAAUAUGUUUUGGAGACUGAAAAAAUUAAGCUCCGUCACAGCACAUAUGUAGUCAUUAUCUUCUUUUCAAUUUUAUUAUGCUCUUUGGGUUGGUAACAAAUACGUGCAAAGGCAUGUAAAAUAUAUAGUCUUCCGUCUGUCAUAAAACUCUCGGUCGGUAUCCACCGACCCAUUGUUGUCAAACCCUAUCUAUAUGGAUUUGCAUGCUACUUAAUAAUGCAUGUGCAAUUCACGUUGGGGUCUGGACAAGGGAAUGGCCACAAAAAUUGACGUGUUUGUCUUCUAUCUCUAAAUAAAAAAGGCUACAUAUGCAAAGGCGGACUUGUUUGUCUUUUCUUGAUUUGUAAUAUUUUCCGGUGCAACCAAACUAUCUUUAUAUGCAUGUUAUUCUCAUAUAUACUUGGAUAUUAGUCGAGACGUGCAUUUGCACGUGCACGCUUACUAGU